AGCGAACGCUGGCGGCAGGCCUAACACAUGCAAGUCGAACGAAGUCUUCGGACUUAGUGGCGGACGGGUGAGUAACACGUGGGAACGUGCCUUUAGGUUCGGAAUAACUCAGGGAAACUUGUGCUAAUACCGAAUGUGCCCUUCAGGGGAAAGAUUUAUCGCCUUUAGAGCGGCCCGCGUCUGAUUAGCUAGUUGGUGAGGUAAAGGCUCACCAAGGCGACGAUCAGUAGCUGGUCUGAGAGGAUGAUCAGCCACAUUGGGACUGAGACACGGCCCAAACUCCUACGGGAGGCAGCAGUGGGGAAUCUUGCGCAAUGGGCGAAAGCCUGACGCAGCCAUGCCGCGUGAAUGAUGAAGGUCUUAGGAUUGUAAAAUUCUCUCACCGGGGACGAUAAUGACGGUACCCGGAGAAGAAGCCCCGGCUAACUUCGUGCCAGCCGCCGCAGUAA
RNAcentral lists this ribosomal RNA (449 nucleotides) under uncultured bacterium. Its description in RNAcentral is "partial 16S ribosomal RNA". It matches the Rfam family "Bacterial small subunit ribosomal RNA", at positions 29 to 523 of the family's 1533-position model. The record is from RNAcentral.